UUUCGUUCGGAUUCUAUAAUCCAAACAGUAUAGAGCGUGCGGGAAACUCAUAGGGUGGAAAAAGAAACACUGAAAUCUUAAUUAAAAUAUCUCUCAAGACUUACUGUGCCCAUGUAAAAGCAUUGUCAAGUGCAGCCAAGGAUCCUCCAACAAAAGGCUUAGGUGGAUUUGGAUCAUAGGCUAUCCACCAUCCAACAGGUAUUCUGACUGCAUCUAAUCCAUUUUGUGACAUAAAUCUGAAAUCAUCUUCAGUUAUGUAUGAAUUCCAAUGCUCCUGCAAAGCAAACAAAGCUCAAAAUUUAGAUGAUAUGGAAAUCCAACAAAGAUUUCAACAAGUCAUAGUUUCUCAUGAAAAGUUUAUAGGAAUUCUCACCCUUAAGACUUGAGGGGCUCUAUCAGGACCAUAACCAUUAGUAAGUUGGUACUCUCCUUCUAAAGUUCUUACAAUUGUCAUUUUAAAGACUGAUGGGUCACUUUCUUCCCAAUUUGUGCCUUGAUAAUUUGCUGUCACUAAUGUCUCUGAUUGAGCCUUCAUAAAUAAUAUGGUCAGAGGAUUCAUACUUCUAGGUAAUUUUUAGUAACUUACAUAACAAGUUUUCACUAUUAAAAUUGGCAAAAUUAUUCAUACUUAAAUAACAAACUUUUAGAAGUUGUGUACUUAUUCCGAGUACAUAACUAGAUUAAAAAAUUCCAAAUUAUUAGCUUGAGGAUGGACUAAUGAGUACCUGCAAAAAUAGACCAUUUGAUGCUUUGAUUCGAAUUUUGAGGGGAUCAUCAUUGUUCCUUAUAAUCUGAAAUGUUUCUCUGUUGCCAGGUGAAUCUGAAAAGGAUACAAUUGUGUUACCUCCUCCUAUAUUAUUUAAGCCCACAAAUUUUUUGUUGAACACCCUAAAGUUGAAGGAUGAGUCAUUGACCCUCCAAAGCUGCAAAUUAAUGAGCAAAUAAUUAGAACUCACAACGGGUGGUUAAAUUUAUUAAAAAUAAAUAAAAAAAUGCUCUCUUUAGUUCUAUUUAUAAAAGAAAUUUAGGUCAACCAAGGUUGAUGUAUCAUUGAAAAAUUAGACCAGAUACAUCAACUUUUGUUAACCUAAAUAUCUUUUAUAAAUGGAACGGGAGAGAGUAUUUCUUUUGUUACAUAUUACUUACUUUGAAUGUUUCCCAACCAGAAGGUGAACCACGGUUGGCUACAAUAGCAGUUCCUCCUCCAUCUUCAGCACAAAGAUAUUUCUGAAACUUUGUUGACUUGAAUUGUACUUGAGUUCCAUCCUAAAUCAAAACAUACAUACAAUGAUUUUUUGGUGGAAAUUUGAACUUCUUAAUAUUAGGAGGUUAUAAAUAAAAUUGAGGGAGUGAUACCAAGAGAUCUUUGUUGACAAUUCCUUCAAAGAGAGAAGGUUUCAUCCACCCCUCAGCCAAAAGCCAGUUUCCUAGAUUCACUGCUUUGUAUGGCGGAUUUCCCAUUUUUGAAAUGGCUUGUAACCAAAGAUUGUGUGUUUGUCUGUGUGAGACUGUGUGUGUGUAUAUAUAAUAGCAAUGAACCAAUGUUACGAGUUAAAGGGUUCCAUAAGAAAUUGCUAUAUAAGUUUUGAAAUCUAUGUUGUGUACCAAAUGUAAAUUAGAAGUUUUAUUGGUAUUUUCUAAGUAAGAGAAUCUAUAAACACACUGUCUUUCGGUUUUGGAUUAAUGAUGUGGUAUCGAACUCAUUUGUGUGGUUGUUCUUGAUUCGAUGUGAAUGACCUCUUUGUUUCGAAAGUCUUUAUGUCAAUUUAGAAGGUGUGUUUUGUUGAUUGUCACAACAACGGUACAAGUACAAAUGUACGUGGAUGAAAGAAAAAUUGUUUAAUGAAUUAAUGGACUUAUACUUGAGGUGGAAAUUAUUGUAUACAUUAUAAUUGAGAUAUCCACGAAACGAAUGUCUUAAAAUUUUAGGUUAAGGAUAUGAUAUACAACUCAUGACCCAACAAUUUCUAAUUAUGGUGAGUUAUUGACACUCACUUAAAUUUUAAACUUUUGUUUGGGAAAAGAAUAAAAGAAAGAGUCCAGGUUGGCUGCGUUUCCGCUGCAUUAUUCAAAGUCUCUCUAGAUUUUAAUAUUAGGAAGUGUGGCUUUUAACAUAGACAAAUGGUGGCCAAGAUACAUCUAAAUAAAGUGGCAACUACACCCUCUCUCAUUAUUCCCAUUAUUAAUGUUAUAGACAAAAAUUUAUAUUUUAGAUUUAUUGAAUUGUUAAUUUAUUUGUUUUAUAAUAUUGGUAAGAUACAUCAAUUUUUCAAUAAAUUUAAAAAAUUAUUUUUUUACUUGAUAUGAAGAUGUAUAUUAUCCACCUUUUAGUAACAGUAAAAUGUUCAAUGGCACAUGUUAUCUACAGCCAACUUGUUCUUCCAACUUGCAAGUCAUUUAUCAGUAUUAUUAUUUUUUGACAAAUAGAGUUGCUAGUAUUUUUUGGACAGAAGUUACAAGUACUACCAAAAAAAGACGUUUUUUUUUUUGUUUUUGUUGAUCAUGUGUAGACGUAUUUUAUUAAAUUAGAAAAGACACUGGUUAUAAUUAUAAAGUUGCAUAUAUAAAAAAUAAAAAAGACUAAUUGAUAUUUUUAUGGGAGAUUUGAAUGAUUGUAUUAUUGAGUUGAAUAUGACAGCAAAUAUGGGCUGGAAUCUUGAUAUGAAGUGGCAACAUUUUUGGGCAACAUUGUUUAUGGUAAGACAAUUGUUGUCCACACUUCACACAAUGCUAAGAAACAUCUGAAAAAUGUUAAUUGGAGGGCUGAUGCUGAUUUAGUGUGUUCUAAACAAUAGGAAAAACAGUUGUUAUUGAUAGUUUCAGGUAACAAUAAGACAUGAUGAUAACAUUCAGCAAAAUAAUAAUUUUUUUUAGCUUGAUGAAAUAAUCAAUUUACAAAUAAUGUAGUAUUGCCUCCUCUCAAAAAAUAAAAUUUAGUCUUGCCCAGAAAUUUAUGUGCAAUUGUGUUCUUCCAAUAUAUAGUUGUUUAUGGAAUUUGAUAUGCCUUCAUAUAUUGAAAUGUAGUAUUUUAUUAAUUAGUAUAAGCACAAUACAUUUAUGGCCAUUACUUUUCCUCACCUUUGCUACUACAAAAUCCUCAUAUUAUUUAAGUUUACAGUCAGAUAAAGCGAGAAAUGUUAGCAAUACGUACUUUAACAUACACUUUUCAAUAUACUCUUUUUGAUUGGUUAAAAUUUACAUGAGUUUCAUCAAAUCAUGUGGUUCCCAUAUAAAUUUUGUGAGACGUAUGUGAACUUUAACCAAUCAAAGAGAGUAUUUGAAAAAUGUGUGUUGUUCUCGUUUCUUUGGAUAACAAAUAUUUGAUGUUCGGGGUGGGGAAAGUAACCCCUUACAUCUAGAGCUUUAUGUAACCAUUCUCGAUCAUCCACUUGAGACUCCAAUGGUUAUAUUGACAUUUGUAUGCCCAAUAAGCCCAUCCAAAUGUUGCACGAGAAUACACAUCUAGUUGUGCUUGGCCAUAUCUUUGGUAGUCUUGCAUAGAUGCACCUUGCACAAGAAACUCAUCAGUCCAUUCCCCUAUCAAAAGAAAAAAGCAAAAACAUAUAGUUAUCACCAAUAUAUAAUAUAACCUCCAAGAACUAUCAAUAAAGUUAUCUAGGACAUAAUAUAACAUAUAGUUUGUUUGAUUGUUGAUAUAUUUGAAAAAUAUGAUAGUAAACAAGAUACAAAGUUUGGAAGAAAAAAAACUGUAUAAGUUGUUCUAGAGAAUCUGAGUUUGAAUCUUGAGAUUUGACACUUACCUACAAAACUAAGAGCGUUUGUUGAAGAGACGCCGCUAAGAUCUGAGGCUCUUUCGUUGUUUAUGUAGUCAAUAUUUUGUUGAACAUUCAUGUUAGUGAAUUUGUCCGAAUAAAGAUUGUAGUAAUGCACAUCAAGGACAACUUUGUUGAAUCCAGUGACAAAUGAGAGAAGUACUUUAGAAUCUGCAUCCAAUGGGUUUGACAUUAUCACAUAAGCAUUUGGAUUGUAUUUCCUCACUGCAUCAUAAGCCUCCUUGUAAUAUUUCUUGAGGCUAUCUAGAUUGACACCUUGUGGCUCAUUCAUCAACUCUAUUCCUCCUAAACUUGGUCUAUUACCAUACCUGUCCACAAAUUCAAUUCAAGUAUCAAAGAAAUCAGUCACUUAAUUAGUACAUAUCAUCAUAUAUAUCAUUAGAAUUCAAGUCUAAGUGGUUAGUCCCACAUUCAUUAUGAAUAGGCUAAAUGAUUGAUAUAUAAGAAAGGUAACUCGUAUAUUUAAUGUUUUAAAUUUUUGUGUGGAGAUCUGAAGUCAAGAUGUGGCAUGUUACGUAGGUGGUGUAUUUUGGCAGUUCUGAUAACUAGAAUCAGGUGGCAUGUCUCGUCAAGAGCAACAACGAACUAAACAGAUGAAGAAAAAUCUUGGUGCGUCCAAACGGCCUGAACCAUGGGAAACAUGUGAGCGGGAAUUUGAAUUCAAAUUCUGACAGGUAGGUCCCUCAAGAAAGGGAACUUCCUACUUUUUAUGCAUUAUGGCGGACACACUUGUAGAUAAUAACCACUCAUAUUUGAAUAUUAUACUACUUAUACUCGAUAUAUGGGAUACCUCUCUUGUAUUAUUUUUGUUUAACUCAUUUCUACUCGAUAUGAGAUGAGACUAAUCACUCACGCUUCAAUUCUAGUGUAUAUCACACAACUAUUAAAGAGAAGAAACUCAUGAGUCCAUUAUCAAGAAACAAACCUUUUUGCUAGGAAAUCUAUGACAGAGACUGUCUGAGGUAUGUAUGAUUCACCCCAUUCUAUAAAUCCAUCUCUUGUUCCACUGUGAUCAUUACCAUUUUGAGAACCUUCAACUGCAUGCAAGUCCACAAUCACUUUCAUCCCAUGGAUUCUGUAAAUUACAAAGAUAUAUACUUGAUUGGUAAUCAUGAAACAUUAAGAUAAAAUAAAAUAAAAAAAGCAAAUUAAAUGAGCACAAAAAGGUACAUUACUUGUUACGCGACGCUACUAGAAAAAGUUAAAAUAACAACGGAAAUUCAAUAAAAAAAAAUAUUUAAAAUUGGUCACCAAAUUUAGUUUGUCUAACACUUCGCAACGGAUAUUGUCUUUCUGUCUCUAAAUUUUCAUCGCUAUUUCAAUUUUUCUAAUAGUGUGUUGCGAUUUAAUUAAAAUAUCGUCUCAAAGACUUACUGUGCCCAUGUGAAAGCAUUGUCUAAUGCUGCCAAUGAUCCUCCAACAAAAGGCUUAGGUGGGUUUGGAUCUUGAGCUAUCCACCAUCCAACAGGUAUUCUCACUGCAUUUAAUCCAUUUUGUGACAUGAAUGUGAAAUCAUCUUCAGUUAUGUAAGAAUUCCAAUGGUCCUGCAAAGCAAACAAAGCUCAAAAUUAAGAUGAUAUGGAAAUCCAACAAAGAUUUUCAACAAGUAAUAGUUUC
Molecule: long non-coding RNA, 5411 nt
Filed under: Medicago truncatula (barrel medic)
Lineage: Eukaryota; Viridiplantae; Streptophyta; Magnoliopsida; Fabales; Fabaceae
Description: long non-coding RNA (MTRU_LNC000113)
Source: RNAcentral